UUGUGAGGUGAUGCAAUUUCAGUUCCCUACCUCUAAGGUUUCCCACCUCAGCUACAUUUUCUCUGUAGUGCCAUUUGCUACAACAAUCUCUUUCAGAUCCUGCAGCACAAAUCAGAGUGGCUUUUUAAGUUUUUCCAUUUUCUGCUGAAAAUGUUCUUACUCUCAGAACUACUUAAAAUCAAUGAUCUGGAAGUAUAUUAUUCUUUCAAAAAUUUUCUCCAUUUGUUAGAAGUAAAGGAAAGAAGCAACAAUUGAUUUGCAUAUGAGGCGGUCUGAGAUUUUAGAGAGGAAUUUGGUGGGAAAAUUCUAUUCAUCAUGAUUUUCCCUUUUAAAUAAGACCAUACUGAAACAUAAAUUUUAAAAAUUACUCACACUUCAGUUCUUCCCUAUCCUUGGCCUGGCACAAUUUUAUCGAGACAUUCUCAGGCACAAAAGCAAUUUUUUUAAAAAAAACAAAACAAGGAACUGGCUGCCUAAAGAAGGGGGUGUUUUUUUUUAGUUUUUGUUUCUCCCUUCUAGCUUUAUAUUGUUUAUUUUAAUGUAAGUUGCCUUGCGUCCUCUUGAGGAAUACAGUCUAUAAACACUGAAAUUAAAUAAAUAUAAAUAUAGACACAAUGUAGCACUCUGAAGAACAGUUUUAUUUCAGCAUGAGCUUUUUUAGACCCAAACUUCUCUCCCUUCUUUUUUCUUUUUCCCGCAUUCUAAGAAAGCCUAAAAUGGCCAAUCUUUGGAAAUGAUCGCCAACUAUUACCUUAUGGACAUUUCUAAAGCGUGGUUCACUUCUCCCGUCAAACCAACCAAGAAACCCACAACCAAAACUCAUUUUGGAACAAAUCACGUAAUGCCUAAAAGGGCCUUUUGCUGUGGUUUGCUGCCCUUUGCACUUAAUAUUUUCCCCCACUUCGUGUUGCUGCCCUAUUUAUCAUCUGUAUUAAAAUAUCUGUUUAAAUUUUGUGUUUGUUGCCCUGUGGUAAUUUUAUCAUGGCCCUGGCAUGUAGAUAAUCAUACCAUUUGCUCGCCUCGCCACUUGCUGGGCGGGAAGAUGAUGAUGAUGAUGAUGAUGAUGAUAAUAAUAAUAAUAAAUAUGAACAAAUGGGUCCCAAGGAAGCGGAGGGGGGACCCGAAAAUCCCUCUCCCUUACUCGAACUCAAAGAGGAGGCCCCUCAGCUUUCAGGUCUGGGCAGAGAAACACAAACCGUUGGAAGCCCUCCCCCACCCCAUAAAUCCUGAGGUAAGGGAAAACCGGUAACGGCGUUGUAACGGCGGCCAGCGCUUUGCCCAUGCUCAGAGGGGCCGUUCCGCUGGCCGGUCCCAGGCUUCUCCUCUCCAUGUCAUCCCACAAGGCCGACUCUUAUGAGGGAAAGGGAAGGAGCCCCAUUCCUCCCCCCUCGACUCGGCCUCUUUAGCGGCCCCGCUCUUACCGUCGCCACCGCUCCACUCCGCGCCUCACGAAGACUGAGAGGCUCCGGCCGGAAGUUCCCAACCGGAAGUGCGCCGACGCGAGAGCCGCGGAGAGCCAGGUUAGAGCGUCUGCCUGGCUUCUCUUCCGCCCCCUAGUGGCGCCUCGGGAUUCCUACAGGGAAAGUGCUGCCCUGGGAAGCUUUCUUCUUAAAAAACGAAGCGUUCAGACGUCGCUCAGGCAUUUCCUCCGUCAUUGAACUGAAAUGAAGGCCCAGCCCUGAAAGUAUGUGUUUUUCACUCAAAAGGGAGGCAGCUAAAGCGGCCCACGUCCCGAUUCCCAAAUGAGAGUACUGUAGCAUGACAACAGAAACAAGGAUGAAGCGAUCCAACGCUGGUCCAGAUGUUCAAGAGGAAAUUGGACCAGUAUCUCUCACAGCUGCUUCGAUGGGGAUGCCUGCCUCAAGCAAGGGGUUGGACUUGAUGACCUUAAGAGGACCCUUCCAACUUCAGGAAUUUAUGAUCCUAGGGUUCCAACGUACAUCAAAGCAAGUGAAUGAAGACAACUGAUUCUUAGCACACUAGAUAUGCAUCAAUGUGUGGGAUCAGAAUUUUAAUGAGAAAGGUUAUUAUGCCAGCUGGCCUACCUACUUUGUGCUGAGGUUUGAGUGACAGGGGAAAAAAGCAGAAUGUGGUGCCCCCUGCAAAGCAGAGAGUCAAAGGGUCUGCUUUCAAACAAGGGGAAGCGACUCAGGCCCAAAGGUAUUGUCAUUUAUUUUUGUAAUAGCGGUCGAUUUCCCCUUUAGGUCCAUCUAAAUUUUAGCAUUUGGGGCAAAGUCCUGGAGGCCCCAACCCAUAGUCUUUGUUACAACCAUAACAAAAAGAAAUGAUAGCUAUAACACCAGAAAGUCAAACCAGCGAGUCAAAUCAAGCCUGAAUUCUCGCUAGGAGUAAAUAUGAUGAAACGGAGGUUGUCCUACUUUGGGCCCUUCAUAACAAGGGAGAGAUUAUUUGGAAAAGACAAUAAUGGCAGGAGAAGUUGAAGGCAGCAAGAAAAGAAGACGACCCAGCGUGAGAUGGAUUGACUCAAUAAAGCCAUGGCCUUCAGUUUGCA
This 2512-nucleotide long non-coding RNA is filed under the name Pogona vitticeps (central bearded dragon). Its description in RNAcentral is "lncRNA (ENSPVIG00000021026.1)". Lineage: Eukaryota; Metazoa; Chordata; Lepidosauria; Squamata; Agamidae. The record is from RNAcentral.